Molecule: transfer RNA, 71 nt
Filed under: Nippostrongylus brasiliensis
Lineage: Eukaryota; Metazoa; Nematoda; Chromadorea; Rhabditida; Heligmosomidae
Rfam family: tRNA
About the family: Transfer RNA (tRNA) molecules are approximately 80 nucleotides in length. Their secondary structure includes four short double-helical elements and three loops (D, anti-codon, and T loops).
Source: Rfam by way of RNAcentral
GUUUCAAUAGCAUAGUGGUUAGUGCACUGCCCGGUUAGCUUGGGACGCGGGUUCGAUUCCCGCCAGAGAUG